AACCUGCAGAUCAGACCCUGCAGACCCACAUGAAUGUCGCUAUAUAAUCGCUUAUUUUCUCUUCUUGGGUUGAACACUUUGUCGUGAGAGAACACUGCCAGCAUGUCCAGGAUCGUAGGUGUCGCUCUCCUGCUCAUCAUUCUAACGGACGACUUCCAUGAAAGCAAAGCUUCACACAUUAAAUAUAAUGUGUCCAAAGAGCACAUCCGCAAGUGUGGGUGCAGAGUUUUUCCAAGUGGGAAAAUACGGUGUCGCUCCCCUCUCUUUCGUGCAAAAUAUGUUGAGAUACAGGAUCGUGUUAAAUGCUUCUGCAAGUUUCCAGAGUUUCAAGCUGCCUGCAAAUCAUCAUUUCUCAGCACCCCACUUUAAAGGAUGCUCAUAGAUAGCUCAUUCUGCAUCCUUUCACUGCACAUCAUGUGGGGUUAAAUCAGCACAUCUCUGCAGGACACCACAGCAUCCCAUCAUCUAUACACACAUAAAAAUGUGCAUUUAAAUUUAGAAAGCAUUUCAUAAGUGAUAAAGAAUGACUUUCUUUAAACAGAGAGAUGGCUUUUGUUCAUGAAUGUUUGAAUCAUAGACUAUAAAAGGAGCUUGGCAUUAGUUUGAUAUUUUGGUAAAUAGACUCACUUUACGCUGAUAGUUACAUAAAAAGAUUGAUAGCACUAAUGUCUGUACAGUAAUUAAUCUACAGUAGGGCUGUCAAACGAUAAUCUUUCAUUAGAAUUAAUCAUUUAAUUUCAAUUGUAAAUCUUGAUUACUCGCAUGUUUGAAAUUCAAUUUUUUCCCCAUUUCAAAACUGUUUUUGUUGUGCUUUUAUUUUGAAUUGUUGUACUGUUUUAAGUAGGGCUGUCAGCAUUAACUAGUUAAUCUGGAUUAAUUGAGGUCUGAGAUUAUAGCAUUAUUUUUUUUUAUACCAUGCUAUUUUGUCCCUUUAGGCGCACCGUAGAUAAGACUCCACAGUGUCUCCGUGUAGUCACAGUGAUGGUAAAGAAUGACACUGCCGCGUCUUUGAAUGUCUCAUUUCAUAAAAAAAACUCCCAGAUAGCUCAGCUGACCAGUCAAAAGUAAUAUUCACCUUAUGACUUCAAACAUUUCACUUUUCUACCAUUCCUUUUAGCGUUUUGACUUUAGUUUAUGAUCUUUAAUGAGUUACUUUUUCAGCUAAGUUAAUGUAAUAACCCUCAAUCUACCAGAAGGUCCUUAUUUAAAAUUUAUAAAAGCAGGGUUGAAAUCAAACCACAAGUAUAGUACUCGCACACAGGGAGACGUUGUGAUGGCUUUCAUACGGUCGGCCUAAAGGGGAAAAAGUAGCAAGUGAUUAAAACAAAAUUGAAUGCAUUCAUUUCUGAACUUAAAUGCAUCACGAUCUAAGCAUUAAUGCUGACAUCCCUAAUCCACAGUUAGCAGCAGGUUAGCUUAGCUCAAAGAUUAACAAAUGGUAAAACCAUUAGACUGCUACAGUCUACCAAAGUUCAUCUAUUUUAUAUGUCAUUUAUUUUGUAUAUCGAAAGAAAAAACUGCACAAUGUCAGAAGCUAAUAAUCUUUACCCUUCUGUCUUUAGCUAACACACUGCUAGCUUGUACAGAUGUAAACCCAGUAUAAAUGUACAGUAUCUUUCUCAUUUUACUCUGAGAAAAUGUUUCCCCAAAUGUUGAAAUGUUGCCUCAAGAAUUAACUUAAACGAUUGUGAAACUAAUUACAAUACAUGUAAGGACAUGACAUUCAGUGUUCAGCCAUAUUUUUUCUGAUUGUGAAGUCUAGCUGAAUAAAGAUUGUUAGCCCUUUAAAAAGUUGUAUCUUCAAUAUAGAUAAAAGCUGAAUAUUAACUACUGUAUAUUGAAGAAAAGGGUUGACUGUUUGUACAUAUUUGGCUGGAUGUGAUACCAUAUACCUAGCAUAAAUGUGCCCUUUGCUAAUCCUGUGUACGAUCAUCUGUGUCAGCUACAGCCCUCAUGGAAGAAGAGGCAGAAUCUGCUUUAGAGGGGCAGGAUUCAUUCCAGUGGGAAUUUCCAGUUUAGUUCACCGCAAUCAGGAUAAUCAGACAUCAGUUAUCAGAGAAUCAGCGUUUUUUUACGCUUCACUGUUCAUAUACAGUAAAGCAGUCUCUAGAAGUUGUGGUGCAAUUUAAAGUGGUGAAACUCUAAGAAGCAGAUCAACAGCACAGCUCACAUUUACAUCAGUGUUAGGCCUGUGUGUGUUAGUGACACAUAAAAACAAGUUCUCUGUGAUGACAUGUUGUUGUGUUAAGUCCAGGGGUGUAACUUUCAGGAAUUCCUGGUGACACACCUGCAGGGUAAUUCCUGAUUAAGUGGAAUAUACCUUGACACCGAGAGCUAACAAUAUAAAGCCAGGUUGACUGAAAUUAUGUGAAGGCAAAAACUUAUCUGUCACUGAGA
Molecule: long non-coding RNA, 2397 nt
Organism: Labrus mixtus (cuckoo wrasse)
Lineage: Eukaryota; Metazoa; Chordata; Actinopteri; Labriformes; Labridae
Exons: 4
Source: RefSeq, a predicted model, not a curated record